RNAcentral lists this ribosomal RNA (174 nucleotides) under Triticum aestivum (bread wheat). RNAcentral describes it as "partial small subunit ribosomal RNA". Lineage: Eukaryota; Viridiplantae; Streptophyta; Magnoliopsida; Poales; Poaceae. The record is from RNAcentral.
CGUCUUUUUCUAUCUUCCCACUCAUCUCCACUAUACCCCUCGUCUUCUAAUUCCUUCCAUUCAACCAAAGAAUUCUUUAUAAUAAUUCGCAAAUCCAAAUCUUCCGCAUAUCUUGCUCAUCCGACAUGGCAUGAAUCACCGAACCCGCACUCAGGAAGAGUAAACGAACCAUAA